This 740-nucleotide long non-coding RNA is filed under the name Trifolium pratense (red clover). RNAcentral's name for it is "long non-coding RNA (TPRA_LNC005116)". Lineage: Eukaryota; Viridiplantae; Streptophyta; Magnoliopsida; Fabales; Fabaceae. The record is from RNAcentral.
CCUCGAGGUAACUGAGAUCCAUUUAAGAGGUUGACCUCUCCCAACAAAUGCUUCUCCAUACGCACCGGCCCGGAUCGAAUCCAUGACCAAAUUGUUAAGGGAUACUUGUGCCACUGCCACACUAUGGUGGUACUAAAAACUUCAUUUUGUUAUGCAAACCUUAUAGGUUUGCAAAUAAUAAACUAGUCAAUUAUAUCAAUUAAUCUAUAUUGUUUAUUCUUUUAAUCCUAUUUUUUUACCUCAUGAGGUUUUUCUUUGCACUGUUAAUUUAUCUAUAUAGCCCCACUUAUUCAUUCACAAAAGUCCUAACUUGAAAUCUUUUCCACAAAAAACAUCAUCAUAAGAUAAAAUAUAACCCACAAAUAAAUAACACGAAAAAUAGAAACUUAACCAUAAACCCAUCAUAAGAUUUGAAAUCAUGGAUCUAAAGAAACAACUGUAUGAAUUAAAAAUUAAAAAUUUAAAAUCUACAAAUGAAGAGAUCUAAUCUAAACACAAAAUCAGUGAAAAGGGGUUUCAAUUGAAUGAAAAUGAAACAGGAAAAAAUACAAAAAGGGAAAUGAAAAUGGUGAAAAUGUAAAUGGGUCAGAGACACAAACCUGGUUUCAGAGCAGAGCAGAGAAAGUGUGUGGGACAAACAAGAUUCGAUAUAAGCUUUUACGAGGUAAAAAGAACAGGGACACUAUUGUUAUAUUGUUGUUGCUGCGAAGCUCACUUUGGUUAUGAUUUUGUGAUGUGCA